This 492-nucleotide ribosomal RNA is filed under the name uncultured bacterium. RNAcentral describes it as "partial 16S ribosomal RNA". It matches the Rfam family "Bacterial small subunit ribosomal RNA", at positions 29 to 507 of the family's 1533-position model. The record is from RNAcentral.
AGUGAACGCUGGCGGUAGGCCUAACACAUGCAAGUCGAACGGCAGCACAGUAAGAGCUUGCUCUUACGGGUGGCGAGUGGCGGACGGGUGAGGAAUACAUCGGAAUCUACUUUUUCGUGGGGGAUAACGUAGGGAAACUUACGCUAAUACCGCAUACGACCUACGGGUGAAAGCAGGGGAUCUUCGGACCUUGCGCGAUUGAAUGAGCCGAUGUCGGAUUAGCUAGUUGGCGGGGUAAAGGCCCACCAAGGCGACGAUCCGUAGCUGGUCUGAGAGGAUGAUCAGCCACACUAGAACUGAGACACGGUCCAGACUCCUACGGGAGGCAGCAGUGGGGAAUAUUGGACAAUGGGCGCAAGCCUGAUCCAGCCAUACCGCGUGAGUGAAGAAGGCCUUCGGGUUGUAAAGCCCUUUUGUUGGGAAAGAAAAGCAGCAGGUUAAUACCCCGCUGUUCUGACGGUACCCAAAGAAUAAGCACCGGCUAACUUCGUG